CCUACGGGAGGCUGCAGUGAGGAAUAUUGGUCAAUGGGCGCGAGCCUGAACCAGCCAAGUAGCGUGAAGGAUGACUGCCCUACGGGUUGUAAACUUCUUUUAUAUAGGAAUAAAGUGAGGCACGUGUGCCUUUUUGUAUGUACUUUAUGAAUAAGGAUCGGCUAACUCCGUGCCAGCAGCCGCGGUAAUCCGGAGGAUCCGAGCGUUAUCCGGAUUUAUUGGGUUUAAAGGGAGCGUAGAUGGGUUGUUAAGUCAGUUGUGAAAGUUUGCGGCUCAACCGUAAAAUUGCAAUUGAGACUGGCAGCCUUGAGUACAGUAGAGGUAGGCGGAAUUCGUGGUGUAGCGGUGAAAUGCUUAGAUAUCACGAAGAACUCCGAUUGCGAAGGCAGCUUACUAAACUGCAACUGACAUUGAGGCUCGAAAGUGUGGGUAUCAAACAGGAUUAGAUACCCUGGUAGUC
RNAcentral lists this ribosomal RNA (460 nucleotides) under uncultured bacterium. Its description in RNAcentral is "partial 16S ribosomal RNA". It matches the Rfam family "Bacterial small subunit ribosomal RNA", at positions 338 to 795 of the family's 1533-position model. The record is from RNAcentral.